RNAcentral lists this long non-coding RNA (572 nucleotides) under Homo sapiens (human). Its description in RNAcentral is "mir-99a-let-7c cluster host gene". The record is from RNAcentral. Lineage: Eukaryota; Metazoa; Chordata; Mammalia; Primates; Hominidae.
UUUUCCUCCUGUCGUUAAGAUAAAUUCUCCAGUAGACAACCUCUCCCACUAAUUGUGUAUUAGCAACGUAUUUUAUCUUGAGAGCUUGUACACUGGGCUCUCAACGUGGUGUGGAAGGUAGCCUGUUACAGUGCUGGAUUCAUAAAAGGGCCUUUAUGGUUUGUGAAAGAAUAUCUGUGUGCUUAGGGAGGAAACUUUUUGAUCUGCAGAAAAGCCAGAAGACAUCUAGGACAUCCAUAAAAAUUCAUCAGAGAGCAUUUUACUACUGAGCUGCAAAGGGAAAAACUUAAAAUGGAUAUGAAAAGUGAAGAAAGUGAUCAUAGGAGAAAACCAUUUCAGGUGUCUGAUGAUUUGUGAGCCUCAAGUGACUACUCUGUGGAAUCAUCUGUCCUUGCCUUUGAAUUAGCUUUCCCUAGGCCAUGAGUCAACAUUAGUAGUUUAUACAUCCAAAUUGAUGACAAGAGCACCUCAAAGGCAGCAGCCUCAAGGAGCAGCCAUGGCCCCAGACUUGUCGCACGGAUGCAGAAAACUUAAUGGAGGAGGCUGAGCAAAACAGAGCGUGACACUCCCAA